CUUCUCUUUCUCUCCCGCCGCUGGAACGCUACUCGUUCCCAAAUCCCAAUCCAUCGAACACACGGAUAGAGUCGCGUCGGAGGACAAUGAAGAUGGUCUCGUCGUGCUCGCAGCCGUGCGCAGCUCGACUCCUCUCGAAGACGGGCUUCUGUGGAUACAUCGGUCUCCGGCCAUUUCCUUCGUUUUCCGAGAACGAUGAGCCUUCGCGAUGGAGAUCCUCUUUGCCAUAUCGCUUUCCGCCCUCGGCGUUCAGGUUGCAGAACUCAUGGCAUGCAUGGCGGAAAAUAAGAAUCUCAGUUAUUGUAGGAUUGUAGAGGUGAUUGCUGAAACAACUGCACCAUUGCUGCCUAUGGAGGAGCUUCUUGCCAAGAUAAAGUCUGACAGCAAGCCAUAUCCUAUCUACCAAUGAAACUUAAUUAUGAGUUAGCCAUGCUCCAUCUCUUUCAGAGCUUGCUCCUUCUGGUGCUGAUCCUAAACCUACCAAGCCAAUAGUGAAGGAUGAACCUGCAAACGUGCAAGAGCAAAUGAUCGCUCCACUUUCUCCUUAUGCUAUGCGAGCCACUUUUUACGAUCACAUAUGAUGCUGGAAACAUAACCCGUGAACUUGAAGUGUUUUAUAUAAAUAGGUAUGAAGAUUUGAAACCACCUUCCUCUUCCUCUGCCACCCAAAUCACUGCUUCUGCCAAGACAAGUGCAAUGGAUGUAUUACUAGGGGAAUCCAUAACAGAAAAUGGUCCAACUACGAUAAAUCCAGUCCUUUCAGCCGCAACACAACCUCAUGCAGUUGCCAAUACUAACUUGAAUCACCGAUCGCCAUUUCCUAUGCAAGAGAAACAAAAGAACCGGGUCAAACAAGAAGACGUGCAACAAGUUGAAACAAGUUCAAGUACAUCACUUAUCUUUUAAAUAUAUGUAUAUUAUGUCAUUGAACUAUCCUUUUGGUCCAACAUCUCCAACAGAGACAUCGACGCCUCAACCAUUUCAUUUUUCUCCACAUAUUAAUUAAAUCCGUUCACUGUAUCCCUUUUUCCUCGAUUUCAGUUUAAUUUAUCCAUGUUCUAUAAAUAAUCUCGUCUCUCUGCAAUGAACAUGAACUUGAGGAUGAUAAGGAGGAGAGGCUAGGUGAGAGCAUGAUGUUGGUACGGCUCAAUCAAAUCAUCCUGAUUUAUUCUGAGUAUUUUAAAUUUAUAGUUCGAUCCGAUUGAGCCGUGCCAAUAUCAAACUUUGCCCGGUCUAUUUCGGAAAAGAGAAGUUUAAUGCUAUUGUGCUGCAGGUUUGUAUAUGAGUGGCUCCUGUAGUAUAUCAGUCCAAGGUAUGUAUUUUU
Molecule: RNA transcript, 1324 nt
Organism: Zingiber officinale
Lineage: Eukaryota; Viridiplantae; Streptophyta; Magnoliopsida; Zingiberales; Zingiberaceae
Exons: 5
Source: RefSeq, a predicted model, not a curated record